Molecule: ribosomal RNA, 497 nt
Filed under: uncultured bacterium
Lineage: Bacteria
Description: partial 16S ribosomal RNA
Rfam family: Bacterial small subunit ribosomal RNA
Source: RNAcentral
GAUGAACGCUGGCGGCGUGCCUAAUACAUGCAAGUCGAGCGAACAGACGAGGAGCUUGCUCCUCUGACGUUAGCGGCGGACGGGUGAGUAACACGUGGAUAACCUACCUAUAAGACUGGGAUAACUUCGGGAAACCGGAGCUAAUACCGGAUAAUAUAUUGAACCGCAUGGUUCAAUAGUGAAAGACGGUUUUGCUGUCACUUAUAGAUGGAUCCGCGCCGCAUUAGCUAGUUGGUAAGGUAACGGCUUACCAAGGCAACGAUGCGUAGCCGACCUGAGAGGGUGAUCGGCCACACUGGAACUGAGACACGGUCCAGACUCCUAAGGGAGGCACCAGUAGGGAAUCUUCCGCAAUGGGCGAAAGCCUGACGGAGCAACGCCGCGUGAGUGAUGAAGGUCUUCGGAUCGUAAAACUCUGUUAUUAGGGAAGAACAAAUGUGUAAGUAACUAUGCACGUCUUGACGGUACCUAAUCAGAAAGCCACGGCUAACUACGUG